Epinephelus lanceolatus (giant grouper) is the source of this 870-nucleotide long non-coding RNA. RefSeq lists it as uncharacterized. NCBI's taxonomy places the organism in Eukaryota, Metazoa, Chordata, Actinopteri, Perciformes, Serranidae. The record is from RefSeq and is a predicted model, not a curated record.
UGCAGAAUGAAGGCCAAACAUUAAAUAUCAGAGGCAGUUACCCUCUAAAGUGUCAGCUCGGUACAAUUAUUUGUCUUUCUAGUAUAUACAUAUAUCAUAUAUCUGAGGACCUCAAAGCUGCAGACACACUCUGAGAUUACAGGGUGAAUAACCCGCCAACAACAUGUGUUCCCGCUUAACUCUGACAGGGGCGGCUCAGAUGUACCGAGUCCUAUAGGCUGUAAUACUACACACACUUUGCUCUGUUUGACUCUAGCUGAUCUGUCAGGUUGAAUAUCUGCCACAGCUCCCUGCUAUCAUCUUCAUCACAAGAAACAAGAUUUCUUCCAGCACCAGUGUCAUCUUGACCAAAGAGGAAACCGACAAUGUCCAGGAUCAUGAAAGUGUUUCUGCUCCUGGCUGUCAUGGUCUGCAUCUCUAAAGCCCAGCAACCAGCACAGUCCUGUAUGUGUCAGCGUGUGAGGAAUGCUAUUGGCCUGACAUCUGAGAUACAGGACAUCAAGAUCAAUGAACCAAACCCCUCCUGUGACAACUCAAAUCUUUAAUCAAGCGUCACCAAAUACACCGGCCGUCACUACUGCCUGAACCCCAAUUUGAAGGAUAUGCAAAAACUCAUGGCUCGACUGAAACUCUUAACCACAGAAGGACCAACCAGCCCAUAGCCUACUGACAAAAGAAUCUGUUGGAUUAGCAUGAAAAAAAAUAUGUUCAUCAGGUACACAUAUUAAAAUCACGUUUACUGAAAAUGAUUUAUUCAUGUUCAAUGCACUGGAUACUUAUUUGUUAAACAAACUUGACUGUUUCAUGUCAGCUUCAAGAUCUUUCAUUGUUCAUAUGUCCAUUGUAUUAAAUGACUAUCUGUUGAACUAG